This 971-nucleotide ribosomal RNA is filed under the name Steatornis caripensis (oilbird). RNAcentral's name for it is "partial 12S ribosomal RNA". It matches the Rfam family "Bacterial small subunit ribosomal RNA". Lineage: Eukaryota; Metazoa; Chordata; Aves; Caprimulgiformes; Steatornithidae. The record is from RNAcentral.
AAAGACUCAGUCCUAACCUUACCGUUAAUUCUUGCUAAACAUAUACAUGCAAGUAUCCGCGCACCAGUGCAAAUGCCCCAAACCUCUGCCGGAGCCAAAGGAGCCGGCAUCAGGCACGCCCAUCCAGCCGCAGCCCAAGACGCCUUGCUCAGCCACACCCCCACGGGUAUUCAGCAGUAAUUAACAUUAAGCAAUAAGUGUAAACUUGACUUAGUUAUAGCAACACAUAGGGUUGGUAAAUCUUGUGCCAGCCACCGCGGUCACACAAGAAACCCAAAUUAACUACCACACGGCGUAAAGAGUGGUACUAUGCUAUCUAGACAACUAAGAUCAAAGUGCAACCAAGCUGUCACAAGCCAAAGAUGCACCUAAACCCACCCCUCAAGACGAUCUUAGCCCACAUGACCAAUUUAACCCCACGAAAGCCAAGACACAAACUGGGAUUAGAUACCCCACUAUGCUUAGCCCUAAAUCUUGAUACUUAACCCACCAAAGUAUCCGCCCGAGAACUACGAGCACAAACGCUUAAAACUCUAAGGACUUGGCGGUGCCCCAAACCCACCUAGAGGAGCCUGUUCUAUAAUCGAUAACCCACGAUACACCCAACCACCUCUUGCCAAAACAGCCUACAUACCGCCGUCGCCAGCUCACCUUCACUGAAAGAAAAGCAGUGAGCAUAAUAGCUACAACCCGCUAACAAGACAGGUCAAGGUAUAGCCCAUGAGAUGGCAGAAAUGGGCUACAUUUUCUAAGAUAGAAAACCCUACGGAAGGAGGCGUGAAACCGCCCCCAGAAGGCGGAUUUAGCAGUAAAGCAGGACAAUAAAGCCUCCUUUAAACCGGCUCCGGGGCACGUACAUACCGCCCGUCACCCUCCUCAUAAGCUACAAACGCCCAUAACUAAUACGCCAACCAGCUAAAGAUGAGGUAAGUCGUAACAAGGUAAGUGUACCGGAAGGUGCACUUAGCACA